AUGGCCGCGGGGCGCCACGGAGGGUACAGUGGUUACGAGGCGUCGAAGGAGCGGGAGUUCGAUCUGGAGGCUUCUAGAAGGGGAAAGGAUUACCAUCACCGCAACCCUAGCCGCCAUCGCGACUCAGAUCGUCGUCGCGAUGGCGGCCGGAGCAGGGACCGGGAGCCGUCAAAUGGGCACACCCGCCACCGGUCGCCACAUCUGCCACCGAAGAGCCGGCCGUCUGGGAGGAGGGAGGAGAGGGAACCUGGCGAGGUUUCGAGCGGAAGUGGCUCGGAAGGGUCUCGUGGGCGGCCGCUCAAGGCAAGGGAACCUGGUGUGAAUGGUGUUGUUGGGGUCAGCAGGGAGGGCGGGGUGCCGUCCCCAAGUAAGAAGAGAAAAUACUCGCUGGUUAUUUUGGAUAGGAAUGCUUCAAAGCCUCGCGUCCAAGAUGUCGGCAACCCGAGCAUGAAAGAGGUAGGCACUGUGGUUGCCAACCCGAGCAGCAUUGAUUUUGAUGCGUCGGUUGAUGUACAAAAUGUUGAAAGAUUACAGGAGCACGACAAUGAUAGGGUUAUUAUGGAGAAGGAUGAGGAGGAUGCUUAUCCAACAAUGAUAAACAUUAGGACUUCACGAUGGGCAGAUGCUGAUGACGAGGAAGAAAUUGUGUCAAAGAAGAAGAAAAGUGUGUCACCAGAACAAGGGUCCGUGAAAAAGGUUACAAGCCCAGAGCUUGGAAAGUUGAUGGUGGAUAAAGACUCAAACUCCUCAGUGUCUUCUGACUCUGGCGUAGUACAGUUUAGUGCAAACAGGGAUCUUGAAGUAGAUAAGGGUGACUACAUGGAUAUCGAGAAGGAUGCUGGGGAUGAUUCUUCUGCUCUUUGUGGGAUGCACACUGAUUCUGAGAGUCAUCGGUGUAGCUCUAGAACCCCAGAGCCCGCAGGGUCGCCGCAUAGGUGCAUUAACAUGCUUCAGGGUUGUAGGGGUGUUGACGAGUUUGAGAGGCUCAACACAAUUAAUGAGGGUACAUACGGUAUUGUAUCUAGGGCAAAGGAUAAGAAAACUGGUGAGAUUGUUGCAUUGAAGAAGGUAAAGAUGGAGAAUGAACGGGAAGGUUUCCCACUGACUUCUCUCAGGGAAAUAAAUAUCCUGCUAUCGUUCCAUCACCCAUCGAUUGUGGAUGUCAAGGAAAUAGUCGUUGGGAGUGGUGACAGCACCUAUAUGGUGAUGGAGUACAUGGAGCACGAUCUCAAGGCUGUCAUGGAGACUAUGAAACAACCAUAUAGUCAAAGUGAGGUCAAAUGUUUGAUGCUUCAGCUGCUAGAAGGUGUGAAGUAUCUUCAUGACAAUUGGGUGAUUCACAGGGAUCUCAAGACGUCUAAUAUUCUCUUGAAUAACCGCGGUGAGUUGAAAAUAUGUGAUUUUGGGCUCUCUCGUCAAUAUGGCAGCCCACUAAAGCCUUACACUCAAUUGGUUGUGACUUUGUGGUACAGGGCUCCAGAACUACUGUUAGGCGCAAAGAAAUAUUCCACUGCUAUUGAUAUGUGGUCGUUGGGUUGUAUUAUGGCAGAACUCCUUUCAAAAAAGCCACUGUUUGAUGGGAAACGUGACAUCGACCAACUUAGUAAGAUAUUUAGAAUGCUUGGUACACCUAACGAGGACAUAUGGCCUGGUUGUUCUAAAUUACCGGGCGCCAAGGCCAAAUUUGCCAAACAACCGUACAAUAGAUUAAGGGAAAAGUUUCCAGCUGUAUCUUUCACUGGUGGGCUGACCCUGUCAGAGGCUGGAUUUGACCUGCUAAACAGAAUGCUGACGUAUGACCCUGAAACGCGCAUAUCAGCAGAGGAUGCGUUGAACCAUGAAUGGUUCUGUGAAGUACCAUUGCCUCAGUCAAGGGAUUCUAUGCCAACAUUUCAUUCCCUUAAUGAACAAGACAGGCGCAUGAUGAAACGUAUGAAGAGCCCUGAUCCUCUGGAGGAGCAACGAAUGAAAGAACUAGGGAGCAUACACGACCGUGGAAUUUUUAGCUGA
This 2010-nucleotide ribosomal RNA is filed under the name Triticum aestivum (bread wheat). RNAcentral's name for it is "partial small subunit ribosomal RNA". The record is from RNAcentral. Lineage: Eukaryota; Viridiplantae; Streptophyta; Magnoliopsida; Poales; Poaceae.